Molecule: ribosomal RNA, 254 nt
Filed under: uncultured bacterium
Lineage: Bacteria
Description: partial 16S ribosomal RNA
Rfam family: Bacterial small subunit ribosomal RNA
Source: RNAcentral
GACGAACCGUGCGAACGUUAUUCGGAAUCACUGGGCUUAAAGCGCGUGUAGGCGGGACGGCACGUCGGUCGCUGAAAGCCCCCGGCUCAACCGGGGAACGGGCGCCGAUACGACCGUCCUCGAGGAACGUAGGGGGACCUGGAACUUCCGGUGGAGCGGUGAAAUGCGUUGAGAUCGGAAGGAACGCCCGUGGCGAAAGCGAGGUCCUGGACGUUUACUGACGCUGAGACGCGAAAGCCAGGGGAGCGAACGGG